CCUACGGGCGGCAGCAGUGGGGAAUAUUGGGCAAUGGGCGCAAGCCUGAUCCAGCAACGCCGCGUGAAGGAAGAAGGCUUUCGGGUUGUAAACUUCUUUUGUCAGGGAAGAGUAGAAGACGGUACCUGACGGAUAAGCCAUGGCUAACUACGUGCCAGCAGCCGCGGUAAUACGUAGGUGGCAAGCGUUGUCCGGAUUUACUGGGUGUAAAGGGCGUGUAGCCGGGUUGAAAAGUGAGGUGUGAAAUCCUGGGGCUUAAACGCAGGACUGCAUUUGAAACUGUUGGUCUUGAGUACGGGAGAGGCAGGCGGAAUUCGUAGUGUAGCGGUGAAAUGCGUAGAUAUUAGGAGGAACACCAGUGGCGAAGGCGGUCUGCUGGACAGCAACUGACGGUGAGGCGCGAAAGCGUGGGGAGCAAACAGGAUUAGAUACCCGUGUAGUC
Molecule: ribosomal RNA, 442 nt
Filed under: uncultured bacterium
Lineage: Bacteria
Description: partial 16S ribosomal RNA
Rfam family: Bacterial small subunit ribosomal RNA
Source: RNAcentral